RNAcentral lists this unclassified non-coding RNA (331 nucleotides) under soil metagenome. RNAcentral describes it as "partial contains 5.8S ribosomal RNA, internal transcribed spacer 2, and large subunit ribosomal RNA". The stretch from base 1 to 120 matches the Rfam family "5.8S ribosomal RNA", at positions 35 to 154 of the family's 154-position model. The record is from RNAcentral.
GAUGAAGAACGCAGCAAAAUGCGAUAAGUAGUGUGAAUUGCAGAAUUCAGUGAAUCAUCGAAUCUUUGAACGCACAUUGCGCCCGCUAGUAUUCUGGCGGGCAUGCCUGUUCGAGCGUCAUUUCAACCAUCAAGCCCUGUUUAGGCUUGUGUUGGGGCCCUGCGGUUGCCGCAGCCCCCUAAAUGCAGUGGCGGGCUCGUUGUCACUCCGAGCGCAGUAGCGUAUCUCGCUCUGGGCGUGGCGGCGGGUGCUAGCCGUGAAACACCCACUAAGGUUGACCUCGGAUCAGGUAGGAAUACCCGCUGAACUUAAGCAUAUCAAUAAGCGAGGA